CGAAGGAUGCAAGCGUUAUCCGGGUUCAUUGGGUUUAAAGGGAGCGUAGGUGGCCUUAUAAGUCAGUGGUGAAAUCUCUAGGCUUAACCCAGAAAUUGCCAUUGAUACUGUAGGGCUUGAGUAUAGAUGCCGUUGGCGGAAUAUGACAUGUAGUGGUGAAAUACAUAGAGAUGUCAUAGAACACCGAUUGCGAAGGCAGCUAACGAAACUAUAACUGACACUGAGGCUCGAAAGUGUGGGGAUCAAACAGGAUUAGAUACCCUGGUAGUCCACACUGUAAACGAUGAUUACUCGCUGCUAGAGGGUAACUUUUAGUGGCUUAGCGAAAGCGAUAAGUAAUCCACCUGGGGAGUACGCCGGCAACGGUG
RNAcentral lists this ribosomal RNA (368 nucleotides) under uncultured organism. RNAcentral describes it as "bacterial SSU rRNA". It matches the Rfam family "Bacterial small subunit ribosomal RNA", at positions 526 to 896 of the family's 1533-position model. The record is from RNAcentral.